RNAcentral lists this transfer RNA (77 nucleotides) under Clostridia bacterium. Its description in RNAcentral is "tRNA-Arg". It matches the Rfam family "tRNA". From Rfam's summary of the family: Transfer RNA (tRNA) molecules are approximately 80 nucleotides in length. The record is from RNAcentral. Lineage: Bacteria; Bacillati; Bacillota; Clostridia.
GCACCUAUAGCUCAGCUGGAUAGAGCACCGCCCUUCUAAGGCGGGUGUCAGGGGUUCGAAUCCCUUUGGGUGCACCA